UCUGGUGACUAUAGCAAGGAGGUCACACCUGUUCCCAUGCCGAACACAGAAGUUAAGCUCCUUAGCGUCGAUGGUAGUCGAACUUACGUUCCGCUAGAGUAGAAUGUUGCCAGGC
RNAcentral lists this ribosomal RNA (115 nucleotides) under Staphylococcus aureus. The record is from RNAcentral. Lineage: Bacteria; Bacillati; Bacillota; Bacilli; Caryophanales; Staphylococcaceae.